GUGGGGAAUCUUAGACAAUGGGCGCAAGCCUGAUCUAGCCAUGCCGCGUGAGCGAUGAAGGCCUUAGGGUUGUAAAGCUCUUUCAGUGGGGAAGAUAAUGACUGUACCCACAGAAGAAGCCCCGGCUAACUCCGUGCCAGCAGCCGCGGUAAUACGGAGGGGGCUAGCGUUGUUCGGAAUUACUGGGCGUAAAGCGCACGUAGGCGGACUGGAAAGUCAGGGGUGAAAUCCCGGGGCUCAACCCCGGAACUGCCUUUGAAACUCCCAGUCUUGAGGUCGAGAGAGGUGAGUGGAAUUCCGAGUGUAGAGGUGAAAUUCGGAGAUAUUCGGAGGAACACCAGUGGCGAAGGCGGCUCACUGGCUCGAUACUGACGCUGAGGUGCGAAAGCGUGGGGAGCAAACAGGAUUAGAAACCCUAGUAGUCC
This 425-nucleotide ribosomal RNA is filed under the name uncultured bacterium. RNAcentral describes it as "bacterial SSU rRNA". It matches the Rfam family "Bacterial small subunit ribosomal RNA", at positions 354 to 796 of the family's 1533-position model. The record is from RNAcentral.